AUUUCGAAAAUGAGACAAAAGUUUAAGUUACAAAGAAAAUGGAGCGUUUCCUUUUUGGAAAAUGCACUGCUGCACGAAAAAUAGCAGAACUAAUAAAAUUACAAACAUGUGGUCGUCAAUUUCCGAAUUUCGUCUGGUGUCGCGGUUCUGCUUCUGCAUGCUCUCCAGUCCCCACUCCAUGCUGUUCAGCAGCCCCCUGUAGAUGCAUUGCAGUUUAUUUGCACGGAACCCUUUUUGCAGAUUUGAGGUCUGGAGCCAGCCAUUAUAACCAUAAGAUCUGCCAGUUUUGCUUCUGUUGGUCAUUGACCUGUCACCAACAAUAACAAUCUCAGUAUAACUUGGAUAAACAGCAUCCUGUUUCAUUGGAAAACUCCCGAUGUCGGUAGUUCCCCUUUCUAUAAAUUCA
Daphnia pulex (common water flea) is the source of this 406-nucleotide long non-coding RNA. RefSeq lists it as uncharacterized. The record is from RefSeq and is a predicted model, not a curated record. Lineage: Eukaryota; Metazoa; Arthropoda; Branchiopoda; Diplostraca; Daphniidae. The transcript is spliced from 3 exons.